Molecule: small nuclear RNA, 108 nt
Filed under: Ailuropoda melanoleuca (giant panda)
Lineage: Eukaryota; Metazoa; Chordata; Mammalia; Carnivora; Ursidae
Source: RNAcentral
GUGCUCGCCUGGGCAGGACAUACACUAACGACUGGAGCAUGAAAGAGAAGUCUAGCAGGGCCUCUGCCCAAGGAUGACACGCAAAUUCAUGAGAGAAACAACAGUGAA